CCUACGGGAGGCCGCAGUAAGGAAUAUUGCUCAAUGGGCGCGAGCCUGAACCAGCCAAGUCUCGUGAAGGAUGACUGUCCUACGGGUUUUAACCUUCUUUUAUAGAGUAAUCAAGUGCGGCACGUGUGCCUUUUUGUCUGUCUUUUAUCAAUACGGAUCGGCUAACUCCAGGCCAGCAGCCGCGGUAAUACGGAGUCUCCGAGCGUUAUCCGGCUUUAUUGGGUUUAACGGGAGCGUAGAUGGGUGGUUAAGUCAGUUGUGAAAGUUUGCGGCUCAACCGUAGAAUUGCAAUGGAUACUGGCAGCCUUGAGUACAGGUGAGGUAGGCGGAAUUCGUGGUGUAGCGGUGAAAUGCUUAGAGAUCACGAAGAACUCCGAUUGCGAAGGCAGCCUACUAAACUGCCACUGACAUUGAUGCGCGAAAGUGUGGGUAGCAAACAGGAUUAGAUACCCGUGUAGUC
RNAcentral lists this ribosomal RNA (460 nucleotides) under uncultured bacterium. Its description in RNAcentral is "partial 16S ribosomal RNA". It matches the Rfam family "Bacterial small subunit ribosomal RNA", at positions 338 to 795 of the family's 1533-position model. The record is from RNAcentral.